UACGUAGGCAGCGAGCGUUGUUCGGAAUUACUGGGCGUAAAGCGUGCGCAGGCGGUUUGCUAAGAGAGAUGUGAAAUCCCCGGGCUUAACCUGGGAACUGCGUUUCUAACUGGCAGGCUUGAGUGUGGCAGAGGGGGGUGGAAUUCCACGUGUAGCAGUGAAAUGCGUAGAUAUGUGGAGGAACACCGAUGGCGAAGGCAGCCCCCUGGGCUAACACUGACGCUCAUGCACGAAAGCGUGGGGAGCAAACAGG
Molecule: ribosomal RNA, 253 nt
Filed under: uncultured bacterium
Lineage: Bacteria
Description: partial 16S ribosomal RNA
Rfam family: Bacterial small subunit ribosomal RNA
Source: RNAcentral